RNAcentral lists this ribosomal RNA (250 nucleotides) under uncultured bacterium. RNAcentral's name for it is "partial 16S ribosomal RNA". It matches the Rfam family "Bacterial small subunit ribosomal RNA", at positions 525 to 775 of the family's 1533-position model. The record is from RNAcentral.
ACGUAGGUGGCAAGCGUUGUCCGGAAUUAUUGGGCGUAAAGAGCAUGUAGGCGGGCUUUUAAGUCUGACGUGAAAAUGCAGGGCUUAACCCCGUAUGGCGUUGGAUACUGGAAGUCUUGAGUGCAGGAGAGGAAAGGGGAAUUCCCAGUGUAGCGGUGAAAUGCGUAGAUAUUGGGAGGAACACCAGUGGCGAAGGCGCCUUUCUGGACUGUGUCUGACGCUGAGAUGCGAAAGCCAGGGUAGCAAACGG